Molecule: transfer RNA, 73 nt
Filed under: Trichonephila clavipes
Lineage: Eukaryota; Metazoa; Arthropoda; Arachnida; Araneae; Nephilidae
Rfam family: tRNA
About the family: Transfer RNA (tRNA) molecules are approximately 80 nucleotides in length.
Source: Rfam by way of RNAcentral
GUCCCUGUAGCGCAAUGGAUAGCGCGUUGGAUAUCUAAUCGAAAGGUCGUGGGUUCAAAUCCCACCUAGGAUG